This is a long non-coding RNA of Nicotiana tabacum (common tobacco), 714 nucleotides long. RefSeq lists it as uncharacterized. The record is from RefSeq and is a predicted model, not a curated record. NCBI's taxonomy places the organism in Eukaryota, Viridiplantae, Streptophyta, Magnoliopsida, Solanales, Solanaceae.
CCUUUUUCCUUAUUACUCUAAAUCGUCUCUUAAAUAUCCUCGACCCUUCGAACCCUAACCCCUUCGGCGAGUCACAAGGCAAUCCGUCAAGGCUCCAGCAAAGGCUACCAAAUUGCUUCUCCAGUAUAUAUCUUCUAGCUCAUGCAUACCCUAGGGUAACAGUGAGGCAACAAUUGCAUUAGUAAAUGAUGGCAUUUAUUUGGAGAAGUACGUCCAAGAUCCUAUGCAUAUUGAAUUUCAGGAAUCUCCAAACUUUAGCUCAAAUGGUAGAAAAAAAAUACUGUACCUCGGAGCGUGCCGAACGUUAGAUAGCUGUUUGAGUUGCUGAGGAGACUUUAAGGUAUACCUGUCAUUCCGCUCGCAAGCGUCGGAGUCACCUUCUGUUGUCUUUCAUUAAUACUGUCAUUUGAAUUCCAGAACAGUGAUAUAUUCAUAUAUUUGUAGUGUGUUUCAGUAGAGCUUAUGACUUUGUACUACCGGUUUUGGGGUUGUAUGACUAUUGUUCGGUUUCAGCUUGUAACGACCUGAUCGGUCGUUUUGAGAAUUCACGUCUUAUUCGGUGGCGUAAGGUCUCGAGCAACUUCGUAUUAUGUGUUAUGACUUGCGUGUAUUACCGAGUUCAGUUUUUGGAUGGUUCGGGAUCAAUUUGGAAAAAAGAUUCAUGUUUUAGAAGCUUAAGCGGCGUGCGCUCGAAUUUGGAUUUGAAGGUCCGCA